Molecule: ribosomal RNA, 433 nt
Filed under: uncultured bacterium
Lineage: Bacteria
Description: partial 16S ribosomal RNA
Rfam family: Bacterial small subunit ribosomal RNA
Source: RNAcentral
AACGAACGCUGGCGGCAUGCCUAACACAUGCAAGUCGAACGAGACCUUCGGGUCUAGGGGCGCACGGGUGCGUAACGCGUGGGAACCUGCCCUUAGGUACGGAAUAACUCACCGAGAGGGGUGCUAAUAACGGAUAAUGUCUUCGGACCAAAGAUUUAUCGCCUUUGGAUGGGCCCGCGUUGGAUUAGCUAGUUGGUAGGGUAAAAGCCUACCAAGGCGACGAUCCAUAGCUGGUCUGAGAGGAUGAUCAGCCACACUGGGACUGCGACACGGCCCAGACUCCUACGGGAGGCAGCAGUGGGGAAUAUUGGACAAUGGGCGAAAGCCUGAUCCAGCAAUGCCGCGUGAGUGAUGAAGGCCUUAGGGUUGUAAAGCUCUUUUACCCGGGAUGAUAAUGACGGUACCGGGAGAAUAAGCACCGGCUAACUCCGUG